AAUCAUCCCUGUAUAAAUACUUUGAUUAGAUCAUUUGCUUUCAAGACUAAAAAAAAUGGGAAGAGAAAAAAUCUUGGUGUUAUUGCCCUCUGGACUGACAUAAGGGUGUAACAUCUCCCACCCUGCUCAAUGCUAACCCUGAGGUAGCUGUGAGAAUAACUUAUUCCUUUUUUUGUUUUUAAUAAAUUUAGUUAUUUAUUUUUGGCUGCGUUGGGUCUUCGUUGCUGUGCGUGGGCUUUCUCUAGUUGUGAUGGGGAAACUGAGACCUGGAAAGGUUGAUUUGCCCAAGGCUGUACAGCUAGGAACUGGAAGACCUAAAAACCAGAGCUGGAGGAGGAUUCACUGGUCCUGAGCGUGCUGUCUCAUUGGCUGAUGGAGGCGUCUGUGCCGAUGAUUAGACACGAACAUAUCUGAGCACAUGAAGGCUGAGUGCAUUUCCAAAUCCACGUAGCUGAGAAGGCACUGAUCUGCGAUUCCAUGCCUGAUGCCUUUCCACUGCCCCAAGGUGGGGAAGCCGGGCCAUCAGAGUGUAAAAUUUUCUUUUUGCUCCACCAAAUGAGAGGUGGCACUCAAUCUGGUCCUCAUAGAAAUGCUGUUAUAAGGCAGGUCCCGAACAGCUCGGCAAUUACCAGGGAGAGGGUAUAAUUUGGGGAACUCAGCCUGGGUGGGCUUUAUUCUGGAAAUCUCACUUGUGAUUAACUCUACUAUUAUCAGACAAGAUUACGUGUGGGAACCAGAAGCAGUUGGUUUUGACUCUGUUCCUGGCUCAGAGUCAUGCUGUACUCUGUGCUCCUCGGGCUACUCCCCGGAUUCCACGUCUGAGGCCACUCACUCUCCCUAAGCUCAGUGUGAAAGCUGCCAAGUGAAACUCGGGCAUCACGUCCCCGUGGUGACCACUGCUCUCCAGGUCCCACGGUGGCCACGCCCCUUCCUCCCCAGGGCAAUGCUCCGGCCCUGGUGUGGGCUGUGCCGGAGCCGAUGGCCUGGGCCGUGACUCCAGGUGGGAAUCUCAGUUGCAGCUUUGGUGAAUGGCUAUUUCACCUCUGAUUUUUACCCCAAAACACCGACUUUUUCUAUCUCAGUUUCUUAAUCUAUAAAACGGGUGUUUGAGCAGCUGCCAUAUUACCACAUAGCAGCUGUGAUAUUCUAGGGGGUAACACGGAGACCCACACGGUGGGCUCCUGCUCUGAGCUCUGCGUUAUCUUAUUUGUUCUUCAAAACCACCCUCUGGGUAGAUAUUCUUACCCCCAUUUUACGGAUGGAGAAAUUUUGACAUGGAGAGAUUUAGUAACCUGGUGAGAAAUUGAAACAGAGCAGCCCCUGACGUUUGGAAGCUAGACUCCCAUUCACAGCCAGCGGUGCUCUUCUCCUGUUGGACAUAAACAAUCUCACAGGAUACCAGCCUCUCACAGGGCACCCUGAGACCAGGCUAAGAUGGACCCAGCAAGACCUCCUUGUAGUUUUGUCUAAGCACAGACAAAAACACCGCUGUGCCACCCACAAAAUACCUCUGCCCCUGUGUCCCGGAAGAGUGACGGCAGCUUCUUUACAGCGUGAUCCUCGACGUAGCCCUCCUUGUAGAAAGAUUUACUGAGAUACCCAGUCAUAGACUUGUUCCACUUUCUAACAACAUCCAAACUCCCACUUCCUUAGACCCCCCCCCCGCACCCCAAGCCGCCCAACAAAAUCCAAACCCUGUAAUUGGUUCUUUCUAACACCCUCUUACUGGGACACCCCUGGUGUGCGUUCUCUCUUGCUGCAAUGAGGAAUAAACCCAACUUGUUCAACUACAGGUGUGAUCCUGGUGGAUUUCCUGGAGGGCGCUGACCCUUGUCCAGGGUCCCGCAGUUGAUGAAGGAUGAAGACAGGAUUUAAACUGAGGAAUCAGACUUUUCUGAUUCCAGAGCCUGUGCAGUACCAUAUGGGACUUCUAGUCUAGGAGAGCGGUGAGAACGAGUAAUCUCAGCCCGGUCAAGUGCUUCAAGCUCUCAAGGGAAACUCACAAUCAGAUGGAGGAUCAAAGCUCUGGCAUCCACUCCUGGUGGCCUUGACACCCUGAACUUCCCAUAUGCGCAGGAAUCACCCCUGCUUGAUGGUUUUCUACAUGCUGACUGUUGGAAAGAGGAAACAGUGAAUGCAAACACUUCUAACCUGUCAUGUGGUCAUACCCCUUGGACAGGCCACCAGAAGGGGGACGCCCACGGCCUGCAGAGUGAAUGCCCCACCCGCCUCCAAGGCCAACCUCUUGGUGCCUGACACAUGGAGGCUGCCAUGUGCUCUGCUGGUGAGGACAGCCAAAACCCCUUCCCAGUAUUGUCCUUUGUUCCUGACGAUGCCUACAGCAGUGUCUUUGAUCCCAGCAGGACACUGGCCUGAGAUGUAAGGAGAUGACUAGCCAUCCUCACAGACCCCUAGAGCCCAGCGGUCCAUAUACUUGAUGGCUCUUGACCCAGACUUUGGCAUAGCUCCCACCUGAGAGCAUCUGGUACCAAUACCAGGGAAUCACCCUUGACGCUGCAGCUGCUAAAGUAACGACAAUUACUGUGGUCACCGUUUACCAGCACCAUUUGUAGUACUAUGCCAGGACAUUUUCUAUACUUCUGUGAUCCUCAUAAAAAACCCUAUAAGGUGGAUAUUAUAGGUGGAUUUUACAGAUGGAGAAGCUGAGACUCAGAAAGUUUGAUACUAAUCUAAGCUGACAGAUUGUAAGUGGCAGGGCCAAGAUGUGGCUCGAGAUCUGUCUCCCAGCCACUCUACUGCUUCCUCCUCUCUGGUCUCUGAGCAUCCGGCUGUCCUACUUGCACCCGGGUGCCUGCACAGAUCAUUCGAGACCAUGGUGGUUGCUAUGCUCCACCCGACCCCCACUCAGGACAGAAGGACUUCACCCCCAGUUACUGGGACUGCAGCUGGCCGACGGCCUCUUUGGGAAUCGCCCUCUGCUCAAGGCAGCAGCCUUGCUGAUGGCUGUGCCCCUUCUAGGGCACAGCCCACAUCCAGUGACUGAUCAGUGGGGGAAGGUAGACAGGCCUGGCUCUUGCCUCAGCUGGGUACAACUCCGACGGCUACCCCAACUUCAGAGUUCCCUGUGGGGUCAGCUGAGGCCUUGUUGGGACUGCAGUGCAGCCCACCUUCUCCCCCUGCCCAACCCCGUUUCCUUCCUUCUCACAUAGGUGGUCACCCUGAAGGCGCUCCCUGGGAAACUUCUUGCACACUGUUCUCCAUCCCAGAGUCCACUUUCUGGGGGGGGGCACCCCCUGUGACAAGGAUGUUUUACAGGAUUAGCUGGGGGUUUGCAGAUUUACCCGCUGGCUUCCGUAAGUACUUUCAGUGUCUAUAAGAGGCUGGUGUCCCCAGAAGGAAUGAUAGGCAUUCUUGUGUCCUUGGCGUCAGUCAGCAUGGCCUGAAGCCUGGGAUCCAUCUGAUGGACUCUAGGCUCUGACCCAUUUAAAGGACGUUUUCUGCCACAAAGUUUUGCUAAACGUAUUUUUAGUAGGAAAGCCCAGAGUUAGCCUUUUCUUUGAAAAAAUAAUUUGCAGAUUAGAGGGCCUGACAGUCCAAGUUUAUUUUUAAGGUAAAUGAAGGAUAUCCUCUUUUAUAGUUUAACCCCUAAAGCACAAUCAAUGAUUUACAAUGCCUUGACCAAAGCAAACAGUGUGGUAAUGAAGAUAUUAUUACCUGGGACUUCCCUGGUGUCGGCCUGCCAAUGCAGGGGACACGGGUUCGAUCCCUGGUCCAGGAAGAUCCUA
Molecule: non-coding RNA, 3746 nt
Organism: Delphinapterus leucas (beluga whale)
Lineage: Eukaryota; Metazoa; Chordata; Mammalia; Artiodactyla; Monodontidae
Source: RefSeq, a predicted model, not a curated record